This 6478-nucleotide long non-coding RNA is filed under the name Equus caballus (horse). Its description in RNAcentral is "lncRNA (ENSECAG00000040037.2)". Lineage: Eukaryota; Metazoa; Chordata; Mammalia; Perissodactyla; Equidae. The record is from RNAcentral.
CUUCAACAAAUAUCAGAAUUGGAAGGAAACUCAAAGAGGAGCUAGGCCACGUAUGCAUUUUGCUAAUGAGAUAACUGAGACUCACUGAGGAUGGGUGAUGCUAAAACAUUACAUGGCUGAAAGAGCUCUUUCCACAGCACCAGCCAUCAUUUAUUCCUUCAACUAGCAUUGGGGGCAACCUCCCAUAACUGGGUGUUGGAGAUGCAGUGGCAGGAAAGAUAGACUUGGUACCUGAUAUCAUGGAGCUUAUAUCCUGGUGAGACAUAUGACAAAGACAUGGCCCAUGAGGAAUGAUGUAAGAAGAAUCUAAAGAGUAGUGAGUGGGCAGGACCACGGUGUGAGGUGAGGUGCAGAGGUAGGCAGGGGACAGAUCAUGGAGUCCUGUGGCUCUGGUGAGAUUAGAUACAUUUCAAGUGCAGUGGGGAGCCAUUCACAGAUUUUGUGUAUCAUUCAGUUUAGACUUGCAGAAUGUUACCCUGGAACUCUGCGGAGAAUGGAUUGGAAGGGCAGCAAAAUCAGAAGAAAGAAAAGCAGUUAAAGAGUUACUUCAGCAGUCAAGGCACGAGCUAAUGGUGGCUUGGACCAUACUAAUGAUGAUAGAGACAGAGAGGCACUUUAGAGGCAGGAGUGAGAGGACUCAGAUUACAAGGACUGCAAGAAGCAAAGGAAGAGCCAAAGAUGACUCCAGAUUCCUGACUCGAGUUGUGGGAUCGAAGACUGAGUUGGGAAGAUUGAGAGAAGACAGCAAUCAGUGAGGGAGUAAAUCAAGAGUUCUACUUAAGACCCAAGAGACAUCCAAGAGGAGAAGUCACACCAGCAAUUGAGCAGGUGAUAUGGGUGGAAUUUAUUAGGACAGAAAUAGUGUUUAACACUGCCAGGAUGGAUGGGCUCUCCUACAGAUAGUACGGCUAGAGGAGAAACAAAGCCUGCCCUUAAGGAACUCCAAUCUUAACAAUGCAAUGGAAAAAGAAGCUCCAGACAGGACACUGAGAAGGAAUGCCAGCAAGGUUCAGUAAGCCAGCUGUGUCCUCACAGAAUCUGAGUAGGUGAAGAGCCAAACACACAAGAGAGACUGAGCAGAGAAUGGAAAAGUAUCUAAUAGAUUAGACAACGUUGACAUUGACAAUGUCUGCUGAAAUUGACAACCCGUAGCAGGAGUUUCAGAGAAGCUGUGAUAUUGGAGAUGGAUUCAAGUGGUUUUAAGGGAGAAUGGUAAGGGAGGACAUGAGGGUAUUGCUUAAAGUGAGAGAUCCUAGAACUUGUUUGUUGGAUGAUACAAGUGAUGCGUUGAAAGUGUUGUAGUACUGUACACUAGUGUUGUUGGGCCUACAUGUGCAGUCCCUUAAUGAGUUGCACUCUCUCCAUGGGUGCCCACUUUGCAUCUGAAAGACCCAAAGAUGAAGGAGCCCGCUUUUCAGGGUUUCCCACUGCACGGUCUAUGUGCACAGGAAGCUUCCUUAAUCAACACAAGGGAGGUGAGAUAUCAUCUUUUAUUUGAUGAAAUGAGUGGUGUCAAAAAAUGGGGGAUUGGCUGGAAAUACUACACAGAGCCUUCUGCCUGUCAUAAACAGAAUUUAAGAAUCCAGAGCCUAGCGCCUGUGUACAGAAUUCCACCCAGCCAUGAACCUCAACUUCCUGGAGGACCCACCACCUGGAUCCAAGAGAAUGUGAACUGAGCCUGCUACCGCAUGACACAGUCCCAUCUUUGUCUUGGAGCCAACAGUCCACGUGUUACGGAAAGUUCAGUCUCUGAACUCCUUGCCAAUCUAAAUAACAAGAACAAAGUUUUGGGUAAAAAGGAAAGAAAGCUUUAUUCUCUUUGCCAGGCAAAGGGAGCAGCAGCAGGCUAGCGCCUUACGAACUGCUGGCUCCCCAUCAGAUAAAUGGGUAAGGGGUUUUAUAGGAGAAGUCUAAGAGUCCAGUUCAGGGCUAUGUGCCAGAAGACACAUUUUUCUUUCCUGUUGGUGGUCUCAAGAUUGCUGGAGUGCCUUGUUUGCUGACACAGAUGUUUUUGUUCUUUAUGGCCAGCAAGACACAGGACACGAUAACCAGAUCCUUUUGUUGCAAGCUGUUAUCCAGACUCCCUGGAACUCGGGUUAUUCUCAAGUCUCAGCAGAGCGGGAGUGUAAGCAGAGAAACAUAAGGAAGGCAAAAUUAUGUACACUUUUAAUUCCAGCCUUAGUUGCCGGGAAAGUGUCACUUCAGAUAAGGAAGACGUUACUAGUCAGGUUGUUAUUUAAUCCGUAUACUUCUAAUUUCGGAUAGAAAAAGCCCAUAACACAUGCAAGGCAGAGUACAGGUUGCAUCGUCCUUUCAUGCCUGGUUGCUAACCUACAUUUCCCCAUGUGGGAGAAUUUGGUCUGCACCCUGAUUUCAUUAUAUGACAUUGUGGAGGAGACCUGAGCACACGCCUUCCUGGAAUUGUUGAGGCUACUAAAAUGUUAUUAAAAGGAGCCCAGAAAGUUUGAACAGCCAAAUUUCACAAGACGGUAUAGCUCGUGUUGGAUGGGAGAGUGGGGACACUGCAAGGCAAGCUACCUUGAACGGAUCAGAGGGAAUGGGGCCAGCACACACAGUCUGAGCGCUCACAGUCUUCUUCCUACAGCCUCAUAUUUCUUCUCCAGUCACAUUCCUGGGAAGAUUGUUCCAGAGGGAGCUCACAUUUCUUCCUGAUUAAUGCACUGGUGCCAGGACCAUCCCGGAUGCCUCCUCCUUCACUCUUCAAUCAAAGUAUUUCUAUUUCUGACCAUCCUGACUUGCUUCAGAGGUGGGAAGGGCCCUCUUGGCCUAUCACACACAAAGAGUCUGCCCUUCGGUAAGUCAUUGAGCAUAUUUCUAACCUGUCCCCUAGCGGUAACCAAUUAAUGAACUUUUGCUGGCACACAGAAAUUGUUAUGAGACUGCAUCACAAUGAUGAGUGAAUUUUCAUUAGCAAUCCAAUUUGGAAAUGGAACUGCACAAUUCGUCCUUUAAAUAGAAUUCUCCAGAUAUUAAAUUUAGCCUCUUGAUUUCCAAACCAAAAAAAGAUUCUUGGUUUCAAAGAGAGUCCCCAGCGUCUAAGCAGUGUUUGAUGAAGCACAUUCUCGAACCACAACUGUUACUUGACAAAACCUUUGAAAUAGCAAUACCACUACUUUGCUAGCUCCUCCAUUGGCAUGACUCUUGGAAGCAACUCAGAGGCGCAAAGGCCACCUGGAGCUCCUCCUCUCUUGUAGGACACAGGGGAAGAGUUGCAUCCCCUCUGCCACUCUUCCUAUUUCCCGAGCUCGUGGGGCUUCACAGCCGUGAGCGUGAGACCGCACUAGUCGUUCUUGUUUUCGAAAUUGUGUUCAGUUCAAUUCUAAGCAAACACGAUCCUUCGAAUGGCUUAAAGGACACAUUCACUUUAGUUCAACUCCUAAAAUGAAUCUCCUUGUGAAACUAUGAAAUUCUGUGAUCUAUGAAAUCUGUGAAUUUUGCUAAACUUCGGUGAAGAUUUCACUCACAAAUAUUCUCUAAGCUAGCAGUAUCAAAAUUUCAAUGUUCAGGAAAAAAUAAGGAAGGGACUGCUUGUUAGAAAUAGAGAUUCCUGAGCCAAAGUGAGGCAGGGGAAUCUGCCUGUUUAUACAAUAAAUGCCGCAGUGGCUCUGAUGGACACCCAAGGGCCACACUUUGGGAAAUUCCCAAACUCGGCGCCGGGUCCUCAGUUUACCUGCACCGUUUGUUUUGUGUUAAGCACUGUGCAUGGCAAAGAGGCCCGGAGCCAGGGGGACCGGGUGUAAAUCUGACGCCAGCACGUAUUAUGCUAGUUUUAUGAACCUCAGGGGUUUUUUUUCCAAUUAAAUGAGGAUAAUCGUGCCUGAGUCACAGCGUUGCUGUGCGAGUGAACUGAAGCCAUGGGUGCUGCUCAGUGAGACGCAGAUCCAAGGGGCUGUGUAACGGUGAAGAAGGGAACAUCCUCACACUGUGGUGAAGGCAAGAGCAGGUACAAUGGGGAAAAUAAUAUCUACUUCUUAUUUAUCUUCUGGGAAUAAUGUAAAGGAUGUUUAGGACAUUGCUGGCUUUAGCAGGCCUUUCCAAUCUCAAUGAAUGAUGUCACCCUCUGUGCAUGGAGCCUGGCAGAAACUUGGGAGUUAUCCUACACUUCCCUGCCUGCCCUCGCCUUGUCUCCUGGCUAUUUAGCCUUCUAAACAUCUCAUCUUCACUGUUGCUGUUGUGGUCAUAGCCCUCUUUAACCCUUACCAAGACCAGACCUGUGCCCUUCUGAGCAGAAAUCUUCUGCUUGAACCUCCAGAAACACUCUCCACAUUUUCCUUCUGCUCAUGCCCAGGAGGCCAACCUGUAUCAUAUUUUGCCCUCUGGUUGCCAGUUGGGUUUGGCCAAUAGGAUCUGUCCUACUGGGAACUUGACUGAAACAUCUCCUAUCUGUCUUACUCUACCUUUAUCCUCUUCCAGUUGGGCCUUCAUGCUAUAGCCAGAGGAGUCUUUCACAACUGAAAUGUAUCUUGCCACCCCAUGACUCUAUAAUAACUUUGAGCAUCUGCCAGCUGAAGACCCAAACCCUUGAGAAGGAUUGAGACUCUGGCUCUCUCAUUUCCCAGCCUGUGUUUCUUUCAGCCCCCACCAUUCCUGUUCCUCAGGUGAAAUAAAUGUUUCAGUUUCUUAAAAGUUUCUCAACACAUAUCAUUGAAUGGGUACCUAGAGGCCAAGGGAGCACCAAUUUUAGGCUAAAUAAACUUUGAAGACUUAUCAUGAUUUUAAAAAAUGAAAUAAAGUAUAUCAGUUUAUAAUCAAGAAAAACAACUAUUGCACCUGAGCAGGAUACUAUUUACAUUAUUUAACAAAAUCAUAAAUAUCCAGUUUAACUAUGGAUAAUUUGAGUCAAAGGUCAAACCCCAAAUCAAUUGUUACUCUUUACCUUUGUUAAAUUGGAAGACAUUUCUAGAUAAUUGCAAAUGUCUGGUUCCGCCAGAAGUACUGACCUUUCAGUAAAAUACGGACCGGACGUUUGGAAAGAUUCUGUGCUAAGUCUGCUCUGACCCAGCCAGACUCAAAGACAAAAAGCAUUUCACCUUCACAGCUGGACACGGGAGUGCUUCGCUCCGGGAGAGAGCAGCAAGUGGGUUCUAAUCUACUCUGUGAUCAUAUUUCAUUUGGGGAAAUAUUUCUUCAUGUUCUCUUGCAAUGUUUUUAUACAUCAACUUAUUUCUCCCGUAAAUGAGGAAAAUUUCUGAUGUUUGGAAAAAAUUAAAAAUCUUGAUGAUUAAGCCAUGCAGACUUCUUAAGAAAUCCUUAGCCCUAAUUCUGAAAUUCUACAUGGUUCAGCCCUAAAGCAUUGGUUUCCAGCUACUCAAGAAACUGAAUAUGUAGCUAGAGCGACACCACUCAAGGAAAGCACUGGAAAUAAUAAGAUCACAUUUACUAGCAUUACGUACUAUGAAAAAAUGUUUUUCACUUUCAUCAUUUCAAAAAUCCAUGUGAGUACCUCAUCUUUGAGAGAACACUACUUUAGAGAACCAGACACGUGUCCCCACUGUCUGUAUCGUUCAGGGACAGUCAGAAAAGAGAAAUUCUGCUGGAUGUUGCAGUGCAAGGAUUUCUUUACAUGGAUGUGGCAGAGCUGGGAAGUCGAGCACUGCACAGUGAGGAAUCCCAAGACUGGCCACACAAGGAAACCAUUAUCACCACUGAACCAAGAGACACAAAGAUGUGGCAAUGCUACCAGAGCACAGACGCCAGAGUGCCUGGUAGGAGCCACAGCCACAGUGGGGCUGCCUCUUGCUGCAGGGGGAGACCAGUGAGAUGGAGAGGUUCUUGGGGUAUAGAGUCCCCACCAGAGGUCACACAGGAAACAGAGAGAAAGGAUGAGAAACACCCUAGCUUCUCCUUUCCUCCUGCCCUCCACUCUCCCACCAAUACCUUCCAUGGUCCAAACCAGCCCAGAAGCUGGUUGGCAAAGGAGCGUGGGAAAUGUAGUCCCCUAUAGUAAAGAACAGGGGACAAGUGAGGGUGGAGCAAACCAGGAGCUGGCAGGCUGCUCAUUUCUUCACAUGGUGCUCUGAAAAAACAUGUUUUCAUGGCUGGGUGACACAUAUGGGUAAUAUACAUAAUUUUCGCUAUUCUUUUAAACCAGAGUCAAAGUGAUUGUUACCAUUGACAACCAACAUUCUCUGUGAAUAAGUCAGCUUGCGGUUGCCCACUUCAAUAGAGACUGCUGUUUUCCGGGCCAUGCCCUUGCUUGUCGCUGAAGCAGCUGGAGCCCCCUCAGGACUGAUCCCAAGGUGUGUGGUUUUCAGUUGACAUCAGAGCUCACAGAUUACUGUCUUCUAACUUCUACUUCAGUGUGUGUUUUAAGUGAUAAAUGGAACAAAAUGUGCCAAGCAUUUCUACCUCAAAUAUGCACAUCCCAUAAGCAAAACUGACUGGAGCCAUUCACAGCAAUGUAGAAUGUUUGCCUAAAAGCACCCGCACUCACUAUUUUCUCAUCCCCUUCUGUGCC